GACGAACGCUGGCGGCGUGCUUAACACAUGCCAGUCGAACGAAGAGCGAUGGAAGCUUGCUUCUAUCAAUCUUAGUGGCGAACGGGUGAGUAACGCGUAAUCAACCUGCCCUUCAGAGGGGGACAACAGUUGGAAACGACUGCUAAUACCGCAUACGAUCUAAUCUCGGCAUCGAGGAUAGAUGAAAGGUGGCCUCUACAUGUAAGCUAUCACUGAAGGAGGGGAUUGCGUCUGAUUAGCUAGUUGGAGGGGUAACGGCCCACCGAGGCGAUGAUCAGUAGCCGGUCUGAGAGGAUGAACGGCCACAUUGGGACUGAGACACGGCCCAGACUCCUACGGGAGGCAGCAGUGGGGAAUCUUCCGCAAUGGACGAAAGUCUGACGGAGCAACGCCGCGUGAGCGAUGACGGCCUUCGGGUUGUAAAGCUCUGUUAAUCGGGACGAAAGGCCUUCUUGCGAAUAGUGAGAAGGAUUGACGGUACCGGAAUAGAAAGCCACGGCUAACUACGUG
RNAcentral lists this ribosomal RNA (510 nucleotides) under uncultured bacterium. RNAcentral's name for it is "partial 16S ribosomal RNA". It matches the Rfam family "Bacterial small subunit ribosomal RNA", at positions 28 to 507 of the family's 1533-position model. The record is from RNAcentral.